This 253-nucleotide ribosomal RNA is filed under the name uncultured bacterium. Its description in RNAcentral is "partial 16S ribosomal RNA". It matches the Rfam family "Bacterial small subunit ribosomal RNA", at positions 524 to 776 of the family's 1533-position model. The record is from RNAcentral.
UACAGAGGUCUCGAGCGUUAGGCGGAAUCACUGGGCUUAAAGCGUGUGUAGGCGGAUCGUUAAGUACCUUGUGAAAUCCCACGGCUCAACCGUGGAACUGCUGGGUAUACUGGCGGUCUUGAGCCACCUAGGGGCAACUGGAACAAGCGGUGGAGCGGUGAAAUGCGUAGAUAUCGCUUGGAACGCCAACGGUGAAAACAGGUUGCUGGGGGUGUGCUGACGCUGAGACACGAAAGCCAGGGGAGCGAACGGG